CCUACGGGAGGCUGCAGUAGGGAAUCUUUCACAAUGGGCGAAAGCCUGAUGGAGCAACGCCGCGUGCAGGAUGAAGGCCUUCGGGUUGUAAACUGCUUUUAUAAGCGAGAAAUAUGAUGGUAACUUAUGAAUAAGGAUCGGCUAACUACGUGCCAGCAGCCGCGGUCAUACGUAGGAUCCGAGCAUUAUCCGGGGUGACUGGGUGUAAAGAGUUGCGUAGGUGGCAUAAUAAGUAGCUAGGGAAAUCGGGUGGCUCAACCAUUCAGACUAUUAGCGAAACUGUUAAGCUCGAGACCGUUAGGGGUAACUGGAAUUUCUAGUGUAGGAGUGAAAUCCGUAGAUAUUAGAAGGAACACCAAUAGCGUAGGCAGGUUACUGGGACGGUUCUGACACUAAGGCACGAAAGCGUAGGGAGCAAACGGGAUUAGAUACCCCUGUAGUC
This 442-nucleotide ribosomal RNA is filed under the name uncultured bacterium. RNAcentral's name for it is "partial 16S ribosomal RNA". It matches the Rfam family "Bacterial small subunit ribosomal RNA", at positions 338 to 795 of the family's 1533-position model. The record is from RNAcentral.